AACGAACGCUGGCGGCAUGCCUAACACAUGCAAGUCGAACGAACCCUUCGGGGUUAGUGGCGCACGGGUGCGUAACGCGUGGGAAUCUGCCCUUUGCUUCGGAAUAACUCAGGGAAACUUGUGCUAAUACCGGAUGAUGUCUUCGGACCAAAGAUUUAUCGGCAAGGGAUGAGCCCGCGUAGGAUUAGGUAGUUGGUGGGGUAAAGGCCUACCAAGCCGACGAUCCUUAGCUGGUCUGAGAGGAUGGGCAGCCACACUGGGACUGAGACACGGCCCAGACUCCUGCGGGAUGCAGGAGUGGGUGAUAUUGGACAAUCGGCGCAAGCCUGAUCCAGCUAGGCCUCGUGAGUGAUGAAGGCCCUCGAGUCGUAAAGCUCUUUUACCAGGGAUGAUAAUGACGGUACCUGGAGAAUAAGCACCGGCUAACUCCGUG
Molecule: ribosomal RNA, 433 nt
Filed under: uncultured bacterium
Lineage: Bacteria
Description: partial 16S ribosomal RNA
Rfam family: Bacterial small subunit ribosomal RNA
Source: RNAcentral